This is a long non-coding RNA of Alexandromys fortis (reed vole), 680 nucleotides long. RefSeq lists it as uncharacterized. NCBI's taxonomy places the organism in Eukaryota, Metazoa, Chordata, Mammalia, Rodentia, Cricetidae. The transcript has 4 exons. The record is from RefSeq and is a predicted model, not a curated record.
CUUUACUUCACUGCCAAAGCCCUUAUCUUCCUUGUCGGCUUCAAGGCAAGAACACAGGAGCUCGCUGUCUGGGUAGAGACUGGACUAUAGUCUCAAGGCACCACAGGUACAAUGUGACAUCAUGUCCCUACAGUCAUAGCUUCUCGGCUGUGAUGGGCAGCAUCCCCUCAUCUCGAAGCCAAAAUAAACCCUUCCUCCGGAGCACAGAGUGGGAAAGCACACUAACCUAGGUCAUGAGAGAACUGAUUUCACCAAAGUAACACCAGGACACAUCUCCCAGAAGGGAAUAGUGACUGCUGGGCAGGAGAGAAGAACUCAGGCUGAAUGCUUCUCAGAAAGAUGCCUACUGGAACCUGAGGUGUGUCCCCCAGGAAUGGAUCUAAUAAUCUGCUAAUGGAAUAAUCUAAUCUAAUACCUUGAGAUGAGAACCUGUUUUAGGAGUGUGUUCUGUGAAAUAUCUACUCAUACAAGCAAUGUUCAACAGAAAACAACACAACACCAUCAGAGACGCCAGCUAUGAUUUCCUCUAGAGCAAAAGCAAUGCCCUUUUCUACAAUAAAAAAAAAAAAGUCUAACUUCACAUCUAGUUUUCCUUUAAAACCAGUUAAUCCUAUUUAAAAACCACAGCCACUCAGUUCUUACUUUGCCUAGGAGGAACAGAAAGAAAAUAUCAAAUCAAU